Molecule: long non-coding RNA, 1161 nt
Organism: Triticum dicoccoides
Lineage: Eukaryota; Viridiplantae; Streptophyta; Magnoliopsida; Poales; Poaceae
Exons: 2
Source: RefSeq, a predicted model, not a curated record
AGCCAGAUAAGUAUCAGGAGUGUUUCUUCAUUGGAAGUGAUGACAAAAAUUGUCCUUUAGAGUAUAUUAGUUGUUUAAUCAUCAAUGAGUAGACUAACGCAUACAUUUUUUUUGGACUGCACCCAUAUAGUUUGUCUUUGCUGAAUAUACUAUAUUUACUUCAUUUCUCUAUUGAGUUAGCAAUGGCAAUAUGAUUGAUUUAUAUACUAUAUAAUUUGCACCCAUAUAAUGAUCAAUUAACCAUGUUUCUCUAUAUAAUUUGUCUUUGCUGAAUAUACUAUAUUUGUUUGGUCUGCACCCAUAUAAUGAUCAAUUAACUCCUGAAAAUACCCUUUCCAGAUAUAAUUUCUUUUCAUCAUUGUUAAGGCUGAUUUUACCUAUUUCACUUAAAUGGCGACCUCCCUGCACUCCCAUUUUUCUGCUUAGGAUUCUCAUUUAAUUGGUGAGCACUCAGAUUUGGAAUAUCAGCUCUUUAGUACUGGUUUAUCAUUUUAAGAAAAUAGGAGCAAUGUGAUUUUGUUCUCUAGAGACUAGAAUUGAAUAGUUAGUCCUUUUAGUACUAUCCUACUACCAUUUGUAGCUAACAGAUGCAUCAGUUCGACUAGGCAUUAUCAUGUAUUGUACCGUAGUAUCUUUUUUGCAUAGAGUAAAUACCUACUUCUGCUGCAGGUUACUUUUCUUUAUAAAAUUUGGUUCAGGAUGCCGUUUUACCUGUUGUAAUACCUUCAGCAUAGAAGCAGUAGUGGUCUGCUCCUCCAAAGAUCUAUAGCUUGUGGAUGCGGCGGAUGUGGCACAGGGAGCAGAUGAAUUGGGAAUAAGAGGACCCCCGGCGCGCGCACAAAUUGUUUCUACCUGACGGCUGAUAGUGAGGAUGCCUCUGACCUGUCCCGAGAAGGUUCGAGCCGAAGUACGACUUGUACAACGCAUCACCAAUUCGUCCGACAGUGUAAAAUGCGUUUGUGUUAGCUGAGUGAAAAUUAGAGAUCAGCCUGGUGGUACUUUAUUAUUUUAUUCUAUAGCUUGAUCUGCCAAAUGCUAUUAAGGAAAUGAAGUUUCUUCCUCGAUCAAGUUAUCAAUCCUUAUUGGGUGUAUGCUUCCUACUCAACACCUGAAUAAUCAAUUUGUACAUGCUCAUAUAUAUUAAUAUGCUAUUUUGUUGGU